Molecule: small RNA, 112 nt
Filed under: Arabidopsis thaliana (thale cress)
Lineage: Eukaryota; Viridiplantae; Streptophyta; Magnoliopsida; Brassicales; Brassicaceae
Description: ATSL005500
Source: RNAcentral
UUUGAUUGACCAAAGGAAGAAGAAGAAGAAGAAGAAGAAUCUGAAGAGAGCGAUGAAGCAUAUUUUCAAGAAGCUACACAGAGGUGGGAAUCAAGAGCAGCAGAAUCGAACC